Molecule: long non-coding RNA, 582 nt
Filed under: Capsicum annuum
Lineage: Eukaryota; Viridiplantae; Streptophyta; Magnoliopsida; Solanales; Solanaceae
Description: long non-coding RNA (CANN_LNC005758)
Source: RNAcentral
CUGAAAGUUAUGCUAUUUUCAAAUCUGAAGUUGAGUACAGUAAGUUAUGCUAUUUUCAGUUAGCCAUGUUAUGAGAUAUAGAUUCAGACACCAAGAAGCUAAGUUAACGAUGUUGGCAUUGUCAGAUUCCAACUAUGGCGAAUGAUUUACAACUAAAAUGCAUCUUGUACCACCAUAUUGACGUGAGAACUUUAUCCUGCAUGUCUUAGUAUUUGUUAGUCUCUGAAACUCUAUUCCUAGAUAUGGUCUUUGUUUAUUGUAAUUAGACCUUUUUCUUCUGUAAAUACAACUUGCUUACCAGAUUUUUUUUUUUUGUAGUUCAUCUCUAGCGUAUUUGGUGGUGAACAUUUACGGGGAGAGUAGAAUACAAGGUUAUGCAGUGUAAUAUCCAGAACAAAUAAGGAAGAAACAAUCUUGGUGUUGCUCUUUUCUUCUCUCCAAAAGUUGGUCAAUCCCGCUGCUUCCUGGGAUUGUUCAUCUGGACAGAAAGAUAUGCUGAUGGAGGAGUUUUAGGUAGACAACAGGAGUAUAGUUGUCAUGCAAUACAUAUACAAGCUACCAAUGUUGUACAAGUAAUAUACC